Molecule: long non-coding RNA, 212 nt
Filed under: Elaeis guineensis (African oil palm)
Lineage: Eukaryota; Viridiplantae; Streptophyta; Magnoliopsida; Arecales; Arecaceae
Description: long non-coding RNA (EGUI_LNC036554)
Source: RNAcentral
CAGCUACACAAUCGGCUAGGCUCAUCAUCCUAGCCAUCACAUCAGGUAAUUAUAUUACUAAAUCUUUUUAUUUUUUUAAGUUUUCAUAGAUUUGAGUUCUAGAAAGGGAUCUAAAGAUUAAAAAUUUAAUCUAACUAUUUAAUUGAUGGAUCAAAAUGUUUAGAGCUCCGUAUCAUCAAAUGAAAUGUGUAGAAAUAAUAUAUUUAAGAAUC